RNAcentral lists this ribosomal RNA (168 nucleotides) under Choloepus didactylus (southern two-toed sloth). Its description in RNAcentral is "partial 12S ribosomal RNA". The record is from RNAcentral. Lineage: Eukaryota; Metazoa; Chordata; Mammalia; Pilosa; Megalonychidae.
UCCCAAACUGGGAUUAGAUACCCCACUAUGCCUAGCCCUAAACCCAAACAUUUAAUCAACUAAAAUGUUCGCCAGAGCACUACUAGCAACAGCCUAAAACUUAAAGGACUUGGCGGUGCUUCACACCCUCCUAGAGGAACCUGUCCUAUAAUCGACAAACCCCGAUAA